Long non-coding RNA from Gadus morhua (Atlantic cod), 443 nucleotides. RefSeq lists it as uncharacterized. Lineage: Eukaryota; Metazoa; Chordata; Actinopteri; Gadiformes; Gadidae. The transcript has 4 exons. The record is from RefSeq and is a predicted model, not a curated record.
UAGCAGGGUAGAAAACCCCAUGUUUGUUGUAUGCCUGCUGUAUAAGUGGCUCUAUUCCAAAACGUGACUAAUUAAUCUCCCUCACAGAUCAAGACGGAGUAUUACUUUUAAUGGAGCCGGCUACGACUGAACAUCCUCCAGUUUCUGAGGCCGAUGAAAAUAUUGCCAUGCAUGGGUCACCUGAAAGAACUGAGACCGGUCGAGGAAGUGGUGGGUACAUCAAGGUCACAAUAUGAGCACUUGACGACUAAAGAAUUAUGCCGUGUCCAUCUUCAGCUGGAAAUCGCUAAGGCUGAUUUGGAAUUGGAGUACACGAAGCUGCUGAUAGAGGUAAAAAAGGAGGUUGGGCAGAAAUUCAAAGUGGACAUGAUAUUGCUAUUCAAGGUAGUAAUUAUAUUAUUUUUCCUCCCUCAGCAACUAAAGAAUAAAAAUGAAGGAUGAAA